CGCUCCUUCCGUCGGUGGUUUCUUCCUUCCUGCCUUGUCCCGCACCUUUCGCGACAUGGGGAAGAUCUUCCUUUUCGCCAGCGCCACCUGAGGAUUUCCCGGAGCCGCCCCCCGCGAUGGAGGACGAUCAGGAGCUGGAGAGGAAAGCCAUAGAAGAAUUGUUAAAGGAGGCAAAGCGUGGGAAAACCCGGGCAGAGACAAUGGGGCCGAUGGGCUGAACCACAGAAAUCCAGUCUCUCUCUUGUGCUUUAAAAUUAUGGGGCCAGAGAAGUUUGCUGAGACCCCACCCCACCUCCAGCCGAGGGACUGAAGCAUCGUCGGCCCCUGUGCCAAGCUCUUCUCUUUUUGCCUGAUAGCACUCUGCAGCAUAGUGAGUGCUUCCUGGUCCUGCUGGCCACCUCCCUCUCCUGUCCGUACUGAAGGAUGAAGUGUCCUCUCGCUGGUACGAAUAAAAGAUUCCUUAUUAACACAAUUAAGAACACAUUGCCCUCCCAUAAAGAGCAAGACCACGAACAAAAAGAGGGCAGUAAGGAGCCUGGCAAAAGUCAAGACCAGAAGGAAACAAGUGGGAAGAAACACAGAAGCCACUCCUACAAGCGCAGCCUUCACUCAGCCCGGGGCUCAGUGGGCUGCUCUCCUCCAAGGAAGCGGGCCUCCCGGGACAAGUGUGACCCAAGGCCCAGCCGGCGAUGAGAUGGCUGCAGGGCCAGCCCAGCCCGUACUGCACCUGCCACUGGGCGCAGCGAGGCAAGGAGGCCGGGAGGUGGCGGGCUCUGACAUCCGAAAGUGACUUCCUCAGUGGGUCCUUUGUUUUACGGUGUCUCUUGGUACUGUGUUGUUGUUCUUGUUGCUCUUGUUAACAG
RNAcentral lists this long non-coding RNA (863 nucleotides) under Rattus norvegicus (Norway rat). Its description in RNAcentral is "long non-coding RNA NONRATT007732". Lineage: Eukaryota; Metazoa; Chordata; Mammalia; Rodentia; Muridae. The record is from RNAcentral.